UAGUCCACGCCGUAAACGAUGGAUACUAGCUGUUGGGCGUAAGCUCAGUGGCCAAGCGAAAGUGAUAAGUAUCCCACCUGGGGAGUACGACCGCAAGGUUGAAACUCAAAGGAAUUGACGGGGGCCCGCACAAGCGGUGGAGCAUGUGGUUUAAUUCGAUGAUACGCGAGGAACCUUACCAGGGCUUAAAUGUAGAGUGAUAGGGCUAGAGAUAGCUUUUUCUCGGACACUUUACAAGGUGCUGCAUGGUUGUCGUCAGCUCGUGCCGUGAGGUGUCAGGUUAAGUCCUAUAACGAGCGCAACCCCUACUGCUAGUUGCUAACNGGUUAAGCUGAGGACUCUAGUGGGACUGCCGGUGCAAACCGCGAGGAAGGUGGGGAUGACGUCAAAUCAUCACGGGCCCUUACGUCCUGGGGCUACACACGUGCUACAAUGGUAGGGGACAAUGAGC
Molecule: ribosomal RNA, 451 nt
Filed under: uncultured bacterium
Lineage: Bacteria
Description: bacterial SSU rRNA
Rfam family: Bacterial small subunit ribosomal RNA
Source: RNAcentral